UUCAGUCUUUAAGAAACUCCUUGCUUUUUGAAUUUCCCAUCCCAGAUUAUGUGGGAUUUGGUUUAUUCUGUUUUAAGCUAAUGCCAAAAGUGCUUUUUGGAUGUUUAUGUUAACCUUAUGGAUAAAGCUUUAAACUGAAUAAAUUUUUAGUUGUUUUUCAGUUCUCUAAGCGCUUCUGAAAAGUGCUUUUUAUUUAAGCUAUUUUUUCUCUUUGCAGGUUACAGGAAGUUACAGGAAUGAAGUGACUUUGAUGGAUAGUUUGUGGGUUGUAAUACAGCAAGGUUGGAGGCGCGCCCCAAGUUCAAAGAGAUUGCAAUUUGAUUACCUGACUUUGGUCUUUAGGAUUUAUUCUCAUUUGUAGCAAAUUUCACUGUAAUUACAUUGGUUUUUUUAAGACAAAUGUGUGCUUGGAUUAUGUAACUUAUUGAAUUAAAAGUCUAAUAACCAUUAAUAAUUAUGUAUUCAACCUUUU
This 472-nucleotide long non-coding RNA is filed under the name Lathyrus oleraceus (garden pea). RNAcentral describes it as "Pisum sativum (pea) long non-coding RNA (PSAT_LNC027994)". Lineage: Eukaryota; Viridiplantae; Streptophyta; Magnoliopsida; Fabales; Fabaceae. The record is from RNAcentral.